This 304-nucleotide unclassified non-coding RNA is filed under the name uncultured Chaetothyriales. RNAcentral describes it as "sequence contains 5.8S rRNA gene, ITS2, 28S rRNA gene". The record is from RNAcentral. Lineage: Eukaryota; Fungi; Ascomycota; Eurotiomycetes; Chaetothyriales.
AACGCACAUUGCGCCCUUUGGCAUUCCGAAGGGCAUGCCUGUUCGAGCGUCAUUAUCACCUCUCAAACCACCCUUUCUUCAGUGAAAGACCGGUUUGGCCUUGGAUGGUUUGGCGUCGGUAACCCGUCACCCCUCCCAAAGACAAUGACGGUGGCUUCGUGAGACCCCCGGUACACUGAGUUCCUCACCGAACACGUACUGGAUCACAAGGGUAGACGAAACCCCGGUCGAACCUCCCUCCACUGGGAGGACCUAUUUUUUACAGGUUGACCUCGGAUCAGGUAGGAAUACCCGCUGAACUUAA